This is a long non-coding RNA of Alligator sinensis (Chinese alligator), 1183 nucleotides long. RefSeq lists it as uncharacterized. The record is from RefSeq and is a predicted model, not a curated record. The transcript has 4 exons. Lineage: Eukaryota; Metazoa; Chordata; Crocodylia; Alligatoridae.
GCCUGCCUGCAGCGGCAGCCUGCACCAGUGGAGGUUGCUGUGGUAGGGCGGGCGGGUUAUUGCUGGCUUCCCAGAAGCAUGUGUCUGCCUGCAUUGGGUUAAUCCUCCAGAAGCAGGUGAGCCACUGACUAACGCACAUUGUGCUGUUAGCGAUUCCACUGUGCGUGUGACAGCGGCUAACCUGCUUUUCGGACAUCGCUAUAUCUACUCCAUCACCCCGCCCCAGGAAGUGGCAAUGCUAGACCCUGGGAAUGGCUCCUAGUUCCCAACAAAACUUUACGGAGCUUGGCAACAGCCCCUGUUAAGUUCGUGGACCUGCGCUUUUUUGGAAUCUUCUGAAGAGUUCGUAGGAAGCUUGAACGCCUUUUUUUCCCUGGGGAUACAUGAAAGACUUGCAGCAAGAAGGAAAAAACAACUGCCUUUGUUAAAAUAAGUUAAUGGGAUGUAAUCGAUGCAUGCAUGUGCCAUUUGGACCACCUGUACUCGUGUUUAGCAUCGUGUUUAGUGAGCAAUGUCUUGGUGCAGGAGCAUUAAGGGACUUAAUGCUUGUGGGCCCUACUGCAGAAAGGAUCCAGGAAGUCGUGAGCAACUUGCCCUGAGCUAGGGGUGCCAAGCCAAAUGCAAAGGAUUCAUGGGAAGGUUGCAAAUGGAAGGACAUGCUGAUGAAAAUGAGCUCCAUCCCUCCCCUUUAUCCCACCCUGUCCUUUCCAAAAAGUAAUGGUAAUAGACAUUGAGCCAAAUUAGAGAGAAGCUCUUUAUCCAGCCAGUGAAGGCUUGGUACCCAGUCAAUGACUAACUGAACUACUGUCAAGGGUGUGUUAAUAGAAAAAACUAUGCAUGGCAUUGCCCUGGCAGUAGAACGUCCCCUGAAUUCAAUAGGAAGGUGGAAUGGACCAGCUGGAGUACAGUGCGCCUGGACAACACAGUAACACUCACUAACAAGGUAUCUGGCAUAGCUGAACACUCAAGUCAUCAAGGUUUUAUGCUAUCCACACUAUGAGGUACUACCCUCCCACCCCCACUGAGGAAUCCAAAGCAUAGCCCUCUUCCUUUUGCUGCAGCAUAGCAGACAGGAUGAGGAGGACAGCCCACAUCCACACAUACCUCUAAGUCCACCAACCUACCCUUUCUCUUUUCUGCCACUCUCCAAUAUGUGCUGCAUGCUUUAUUUAAAUAAAGUGGU